RNAcentral lists this long non-coding RNA (1456 nucleotides) under Sus scrofa (pig). Its description in RNAcentral is "lncRNA (ENSSSCG00015038720.1)". The record is from RNAcentral. Lineage: Eukaryota; Metazoa; Chordata; Mammalia; Artiodactyla; Suidae.
AACAUAAAGGAGAAAGUUAUAUUUUGAGAUGCAUUCAAGAAAAAUCAAAAUGAAUGUCAUCUGUUUUUAAAGAGAAACUUUUGGCUAUAAGCUACUUUUCAAAAUUGAUUUUGAUCUGAUAAUAAAUAUUCUCUCUCCCUCUUCAAAAAAAUUACUUUCAUAACAGAGUCUAUGCCAAUUAUCAUACACAGAUUUUGAAAAAAUCAUUGGCUGUAUAUAAGAAACAAGUAUAUAAAACAAUAGUUUUCCAUUGUGUUUUAUUAUAAAUUACUUAAAAGUGGUAAGUUCAUAAAUAAAUAAAAAGAGAUAUACUUACAAUGGAAAAGAUCAAUUCUCCCAAUACUGAUGUAUAGAUGUAAUGCCAUUCCAAUAGAUAUUCAAUCAUGUUUCUUUUGUAUGGAACUGAAAAGCUGAUUCUAAAAUUUACCUAAGGGGAGUUCUUGUUGUAGCGCAUGGUAAUGAGCCUGAUUAGUAUCCAUGAGGAUGUGGGUUCAAUCCCUGACCUCGCUCAGUGGGUUAAGGAUCAGGUGUUGUCAUGAGCUGUGGUGUAGGUAGCAGACAUGGCUGUCUCAGUGAAAAACUUAAGGUAAAUGAGAAUGUGCCAUCACCAAAAUCUCAAGAUGGAGGGUUCCCCUAAAAGUUAAAAACCACUGUUGGACCAGAACUAGGUGAAAACAAAAGUGAGAGUACUGAAUAAUGUUUUCUUUGUCUUGUUUCCUUGUUACCAGAUUCAAGAGCUGUUUGCUUGAUUCACUGCAAGAGAAGAGAAGGAAAGCUGUGAUGAGCUAGAGGGGAAAGGCCCUACUUCUUGGAAAGUCUUGGACUGCUUUAUAAAAAUGAGGGGAUUGGCUAGGAGGCAAGGGAACCAGAGAUUAUCUGUGAGGCCAGCCCAGGAAAAGAAAACAGGUGAGUGGGAAGCUAGUUUCAGGAGGGCUCCCAAGGCCUUAAUCCCACAAGAAGCUUGAAAGCUGACAACUCCCCACUUUGCCAAUCCCUAACCCACAGAACUCCACAAGUACACCUCACAUCUCUUCUUGAAACCUAGUACCCAGUCCUAGAAGUUCAAAGCCCUGUUGAGGGGUUUGGGGGAGCUCCUGUCUUCCCCACUGUCUCUCAUCUGAGGUAGGAAAACCUCCUCAGUUCACUAAAGGGGGCAAAGAUGGGUUCCCAGAAUCGUAACUCUGAGUACCCAACCCCCUCCAUCAAGAAGGGUUGUCCCGUAUGGUGAUUCUAUGGCAGGAUCAGCAUAGAACAAUUAUAUGUGAAAUUAUAAAGUGGGUUACUUUCAUAGGCUCUUAUGGCUUGGCUAUGGACCCUAUUAUUAAAGACAACAAUUUAUAUAUGAAAUACACUAGAUGAGCUUCAAGUUCUAAAUAAUGGACAAGUGGCUUUUUUGGAACAAAACUCAUUGGAAACACAAUUCACUUGUAAGAUAAGGUAUACCCAAUCACAGAAC